GUCGAACUCCUACGGGAGGCAGCAGUGGGGAAUAUUGCACAAUGGGGGAACCCUGAUGCAGCGACGCCGCGUGGAGGAAGAAGGUCUUCGGAUUGUAAACUCCUGUUGUUGAGGAAGAUAAUGACGGUACUCAACAAGGAAGUGACGGCUAACUACGUGC
Molecule: ribosomal RNA, 160 nt
Filed under: uncultured bacterium
Lineage: Bacteria
Description: partial 16S ribosomal RNA
Rfam family: Bacterial small subunit ribosomal RNA
Source: RNAcentral